RNAcentral lists this ribosomal RNA (499 nucleotides) under uncultured bacterium. RNAcentral describes it as "bacterial SSU rRNA". It matches the Rfam family "Bacterial small subunit ribosomal RNA", at positions 28 to 502 of the family's 1533-position model. The record is from RNAcentral.
GACGAACGCUGGCGGCGUGCUUAACACAUGCAAGUCGAACGGAGAAUUUUAUUUCGGUAGAAUUCUUAGUGGCGAACGGGUGAGUAACGCGUAGACAACCUGCCUCUUAGAUGGGGACAACAUCGCGAAAGCGGUGCUAAUACCGAAUGAAGUGGAGCUUCCGCAUGGAAGCAUCACCAAAGGUGGCCUCUAUUUAUAAGCUACCACUGAGAGAUGGGUCUGCGUCUGAUUAGCUAGUUGGCGGGGUAAUGGCCCACCAAGGCGACGAUCAGUAGCCGGUCUGAGAGGAUGAACGGCCACAUUGGGACUGAGACACGGCCCAAACUCCUACGGGAGGCAGCAGUGGGGAAUCUUCCGCAAUGGACGAAAGUCUGACGGAGCAACGCCGCGUGAGUGAAGAAGGUUUUCGGAUCGUAAAGCUCUGUUGUUUGAGACGAAUGUGCAGACUUUGAAUAAGGGUUUGUAAUGACGGUAUUAAACGAGAAAGCCACGGCUAACU